GGAGAGGUGGCCGAGUGGUCGAAGGCGCUCCCCUGCUAAGGGAGUAGAGGUGAAAAGCUUCUCGUGGGUUCGAAUCCCAUCCUCUCCGCCA
RNAcentral lists this transfer RNA (91 nucleotides) under Mesorhizobium sp. RNAcentral's name for it is "tRNA-Ser". It matches the Rfam family "tRNA". Rfam says of the family: Transfer RNA (tRNA) molecules are approximately 80 nucleotides in length. Lineage: Bacteria; Pseudomonadati; Pseudomonadota; Alphaproteobacteria; Hyphomicrobiales; Phyllobacteriaceae. The record is from RNAcentral.